Molecule: ribosomal RNA, 425 nt
Filed under: uncultured bacterium
Lineage: Bacteria
Description: bacterial SSU rRNA
Rfam family: Bacterial small subunit ribosomal RNA
Source: RNAcentral
GGGGAAUUUUGGACAAUGGGGGCAACCCUGAUCCAGCCAUGCCGCGUGAGUGAAGAAGGCCUUCGGGUUGUAAAGCUCUUUUGGCGGGAACGAAAUGGGCGAGGCUAAUACCCUUGCUCGAUGACGGUACUCGCAGAAGAAGCACCGGCUAACUACGUGCCAGCAGCCGCGGUAAUACGUAGGGUGCGAGCGUUAAUCGGAAUUACUGGGCGUAAAGUGUGCGCAGGCGGUUUCGUAAGCUGGAGGUGAAAUCCCCGGGCUCAACCUGGGAAUGGCCUUCAGGACUGCGAGACUGGAGUGUGGCAGAGGGGGGUGGAAUUCCACGUGUAGCAGUGAAAUGCGUAGAGAUGUGGAGGAACACCGAUGGCGAAGGCAGCCCCCUGGGCCAACACUGACGCUCAUGCACGAAAGCGUGGGGAGCAAAC